AUGCAGAUCUUCGUCAAGACUUUGACCGGCAAGACCAUCACACUGGAGGUGGAAUCGUCGGACACCAUCGACAACGUUAAGGCCAAGAUCCAGGAUAAGGAGGGCAUCCCCCCGGACCAGCAGCGUCUCAUCUUCACCGGCAAGCAGCUCGAGGAUGGCCGCGCCCUCGCUGACUACAACACCCAGAAGGAGUCAACCCUCCACCUCGUUCUCCGCCUCCGCGGUGGUCUGUGA
This 234-nucleotide ribosomal RNA is filed under the name Triticum aestivum (bread wheat). Its description in RNAcentral is "partial small subunit ribosomal RNA". Lineage: Eukaryota; Viridiplantae; Streptophyta; Magnoliopsida; Poales; Poaceae. The record is from RNAcentral.